UACGGAGGGUGCGAGCGUUGUCCGGAAUCAUUGGGCGUAAAGGGCGCGUAGGUGGCGGGACAAGCGUGCGGUGAAAGCCUGGGGCUCAACCCCGGGUCGGCCGUGCGAACUGUUUUGCUUGAGCACUGUAGAGGCAGGCGGAAUUCCGGGUGUAGCGGUGGAAUGCGUAGAGAUCCGGAAGAACACCGGUGGCGAAGGCGGCCUGCUGAGCAGUAGCUGACACUGAGGCGCGACAGCGUGGGGAGCAAACAGG
RNAcentral lists this ribosomal RNA (253 nucleotides) under uncultured bacterium. Its description in RNAcentral is "partial 16S ribosomal RNA". It matches the Rfam family "Bacterial small subunit ribosomal RNA", at positions 524 to 776 of the family's 1533-position model. The record is from RNAcentral.